AGAGUUUGAUCAUGGCUCAGAUUGAACGCUGGCGGCAGGCCUAACACAUGCAAGUCGAACGGUAACAGGAAGCAGCUUGCUGCUUCGCUGACGAGUGGCGGACGGGUGAGUAAUGUCUGGGAAGCUGCCUGAUGGAGGGGGAUAACUACUGGAAACGGUAGCUAAUACCGCAUAAUGUCGCAAGACCAAAGAGGGGGACCUUCGGGCCUCUUGCCAUCGGAUGUGCCCAGAUGGGAUUAGCUUGUUGGUGGGGUAACGGCUCACCAAGGCGACGAUCCCUAGCUGGUCUGAGAGGAUGACCAGCCACACUGGAACUGAGACACGGUCCAGACUCCUACGGGAGGCAGCAGUGGGGAAUAUUGCACAAUGGGCGCAAGCCUGAUGCAGCCAUGCCGCGUGUAUGAAGAAGGCCUUCGGGUUGUAAAGUACUUUCAGCGGGGAGGAAGGGAGUAAAGUUAAUACCUUUGCUCAUUGACGUUACCCGCAGAAGAAGCACCGGCUAACUCCGUGCCAGCAGCCGCGGUAAUACGGAGGGUGCAAGCGUUAAUCCGAAUUACUGGGCGUAAAGCGCACGCAGGCGGUUUGUUAAGUCAGAUGUGAAAUCCCCGGGCUCAACCUGGGAACUGCAUCUGAUACUGGCAAGCUUGAGUCUCGUAGAGGGGGGUAGAAUUCCAGGUGUAGCGGUGAAAUGCGUAGAGAUCUGGAGGAAUACCGGUGGCGAAGGCGGCCCCCUGGACGAAGACUGACGCUCAGGUGCGAAAGCGUGGGGAGCAAACAGGAUUAGAUACCCUGGUAGUCCACGCCGUAAACGAUGUCGACUUGGAGGUUGUGCCCUUGAGGCGUGGCUUCCGGAGCUAACGCGUUAAGUCGACCGCCUGGGGAGUACGGCCGCAAGGUUAAAACUCAAAUGAAUUGACGGGGGCCCGCACAAGCGGUGGAGCAUGUGGUUUAAUUCGAUGCAACGCGAAGAACCUUACCUGGUCUUGACAUCCACGGAAGUUUUCAGAGAUGAGAAUGUGCCUUCGGGAACCGUGAGACAGGUGCUGCAUGGCUGUCGUCAGCUCGUGUUGUGAAAUGUUGGGUUAAGUCCCGCAACGAGCGCAACCCUUAUCCUUUGUUGCCAGCGGUCCGGCCGGGAACUCAAAGGAGACUGCCAGUGAUAAACUGGAGGAAGGUGGGGAUGACGUCAAGUCAUCAUGGCCCUUACGACCAGGGCUACACACGUGCUACAAUGGCGCAUACAAAGAGAAGCGACCUCGCGAGAGCAAGCGGACCUCAUAAAGUGCGUCGUAGUCCGGAUUGGAGUCUGCAACUCGACUCCAUGAAGUCGGAAUCGCUAGUAAUCGUGGAUCAGAAUGCCACGGUGAAUACGUUCCCGGGCCUUGUACACACCGCCCGUCACACCAUGGGAGUGGGUUGCAAAAGAAGUAGGUAGCUUAACCUUCGGGAGGGCGCUUACCACUUUGUGAUUCAUGACUGGGGUGAAGUCGUAACAAGGUA
This 1500-nucleotide ribosomal RNA is filed under the name metagenome. RNAcentral's name for it is "bacterial SSU rRNA". It matches the Rfam family "Bacterial small subunit ribosomal RNA". The record is from RNAcentral.